GACGAACGCUGGCGGCGGGCUUAACACAUGCAAGUCGAACGGAAAGGCCCUGCUUUUGUGGGGUGCUCGAGUGGCGAACGGGUGAGUAACACGUGAGUAACCUGCCCUUGACUUUGGGAUAACUUCAGGAAACUGGGGCUAAUACCGUAUAGCAUCUCCUGCUGCAUUGUGGGGGUUGGAUAUUUUCGGCGGUUGGGGAUGGACUCGCGGCUGAUCAGCUUGUUGGUGGGGGAGUGGCUUACCAAGGCUUGGACGGGUAGCCGGCCUGAGAGGGUGACCGGCCACCUUGGGACUGCGAUACGGCCCAGACUCCAACGGGAGGCAGCAGUGGGGAAUAUUGCACAAUGGGCGGAAGUCUGAUGCAGAAACGCCGCGUGCGGGAUGACGGCCUGCGGGGUGUAAACCGCUUUCGCCUAUGACGAAGCGUGAGUGACGGUAAUGGGUAAAGAAGCACCGGCUAACUACGUG
This 468-nucleotide ribosomal RNA is filed under the name uncultured bacterium. Its description in RNAcentral is "partial 16S ribosomal RNA". It matches the Rfam family "Bacterial small subunit ribosomal RNA", at positions 28 to 507 of the family's 1533-position model. The record is from RNAcentral.